UACGAAGGUGGCAAGCGUUGUUCGGAUUUACUGGGCGUACAGGGAGCGUAGGCGGUUGGAUAAGCCCUCCGUGAAAUCUCCAGGCUUAACCUGGAAAGUGCAGAGGGGACUGUUCAGCUAGAGGAUGGGAGAGGAGCGCGGAAUUCCCGGUGUAGCGGUGAAAUGCGUAGAGAUCGGGAGGAACACCAAUGGCGAAGGCAGCUCGCUGGAACGGUACUGACGCUGAGGCGCGAAAGCGUGGGGAGCGAACAGG
RNAcentral lists this ribosomal RNA (253 nucleotides) under uncultured bacterium. RNAcentral describes it as "partial 16S ribosomal RNA". It matches the Rfam family "Bacterial small subunit ribosomal RNA", at positions 524 to 776 of the family's 1533-position model. The record is from RNAcentral.